Molecule: long non-coding RNA, 1169 nt
Filed under: Coturnix japonica (Japanese quail)
Lineage: Eukaryota; Metazoa; Chordata; Aves; Galliformes; Phasianidae
Description: lncRNA (ENSCJPG00005000193.1)
Source: RNAcentral
CAUUUUCUCAUUCAUUAGGCAGGGUUGCCACAUUUCGUAAUAUAUUUUAAAAUGCACUUCAUAGUGUAUUUCGGGCAUAAAGUAAAUAACUGCUUUGGUAAAACAAAAUGAAGAAAAAAAUCACUCUUCCAUGCCCAGAAGCAAAAAUUCCCACAAACAAGGAAAAAUAAAAUAAAAUUAAAUCACAAAGGCAAAAAACAAAAAGCACCCAGGCAAACUCUAGACACUGUGAAACAAUUGGUCCUUACUUUGGCUGUCUUUGCCUAAGAAGGAAAAGUGUCAUUGCUCUCUAAGUAACCUUUUUAUCAUCUGGGGAAGAAAAGAGAGAUAUAAGUAGAAUGAUAUUCACGGAGCAAAUUAAAGCAGUCUCUUGUCACCCUGCAUCCACACAGCCAGCCUGCGUCCUCAGUGAGAGAUGAGAGACAGUUGUGGGCAAUAACAAGAGGAGAAUUACAAGCAAAAAGAAAUAGGGCUACUUUGCACCCCUUCCUUGGAGGACUGGGUCUGGGUCGGGUAUUGGCUUGGUUUUGCUGUUUUUACCACGCUUUGGACUGCAGGCUUUUUGAGACUGAGAUUGUUCCUAGCAGCUUUCUCUUCCUCUUUGAAGCCUUAAGGAUUGUGUAUCAGCUCCAUAGUGGAGUCUGCAUCUUCUGUGAAGUUCUUAAAUCUGGAGCGUUCCAUGACCUCCUACUGUUGACAAAACUAGCAGCAAUUACUAUUUGAAAUGUACCAGAAGAUGAUCCUGCUCAGCAGAAGCUGCUGCUUUACAGCAUUUACAGGAUUUAUCUCUAAAUUAAUAUUUUCAUCGAACAAGCUCACUAUACACCUUACAUAAUCUUUAAAUUAUAGGAAAAUGCUAGAAGGGUGCUCUGAGAGUCGGCUGUUGAAGUAAUGCUGGAGAUUUAUGGCUCUCUGAAGUCGACAUUUGUAACUGACCUGCAGUGCACCAGGGCUGCUAUUUCCCUUUCCUGAUUCAUGAUAAGUGCAGCUGUCUCCAAAUAAGCCUCCAGAGCCCAUUAAUGCCCAGUUCAUUCCCAUAUGGUAAAUAUGCACAUCUCUUGCUUCACUUUUUAAUGCUCUGUUGCUGUUAAGUUGAAUAGAAAAUUAGAUUUCCUAUAUUUUCCUCCCUUAAAAAUAAAUUUCUCAAGCUCCAAUGUAGUGAUGACUUU